GAUGAACGCUGGCGGCGUGCCUAAUACAUGCAAGUCGAGCGAACGGAUGAGAAGCUUGCUUCUCUGAUGUUAGCGGCGGACGGGUGAGUAACACGUGGAUAACCUACCUAUAAGACUGGGAUAACUUCGGGAAACCGGAGCUAAUACCGGAUAAUAUUUUGAACCGCAUGGUUCAAAAGUGAAAGACGGUCUUGCUGUCACUUAUAGAUGGAUCCGCGCUGCAUUAGCUAGUUGGUAAGGUAACGGCUUACCAAGGCAACGAUGCAUAGCCGACCUGAGAGGGUGACCGGCCACACUGGAACUGAGACACGGUCCAGACUCCUACGGGAGGCAGCAGUAGGGAAUCUUCCGCAAUGGGCGAAAGCCUGACGGAGCAACGCCGCGUGAGUGAUGAAGGUCUUCGGAUCGUAAAACUCUGUUAUUAGGGAAGAACAUAUGUGUAAGUAACUGUGCACAUCUUGACGGUACCUAAUCAGAAAGCCACGGCUAACUACGUG
Molecule: ribosomal RNA, 497 nt
Filed under: uncultured bacterium
Lineage: Bacteria
Description: partial 16S ribosomal RNA
Rfam family: Bacterial small subunit ribosomal RNA
Source: RNAcentral